RNAcentral lists this ribosomal RNA (253 nucleotides) under uncultured bacterium. RNAcentral describes it as "partial 16S ribosomal RNA". It matches the Rfam family "Bacterial small subunit ribosomal RNA", at positions 524 to 776 of the family's 1533-position model. The record is from RNAcentral.
UACGUAGGGGGCAAGCGUUGUCCGGAUUUAUUGGGCGUAAAGAGCGUGUAGGCGGCUUGGUAGGUCCGCUGUGAAAACUCGAGGCUCAACCUCGAGACGCCGGUGGAAACCAUCAGGCUAGAGUCCGGAAGAGGAGAGUGGAAUUCCUGGUGUAGCGGUGAAAUGCGCAGAUAUCAGGAAGAACACCCGUGGCUAAGGCGGCUCACUGGCCCGGUACUGACGCUGAGGUGCGAAAGCGUGGGGAGCAAACAGG